UGGAGGGGAGGUCCUGCGGAAAAAUAGCUCGAUGCCAGCAU
Molecule: ribosomal RNA, 41 nt
Filed under: Rhododendron ovatum
Lineage: Eukaryota; Viridiplantae; Streptophyta; Magnoliopsida; Ericales; Ericaceae
Also listed under: 1 other name
Source: RNAcentral